UCUAACUCUUCGAUUCGCUAUAGGUAUUCACCCAGAUGCCUCUCAAAUUUAGUAACUAUUUUCAGCAACACUGGAGACGUUUUCCUCGGGAGUCCACUGCAAAAAAAAAACUAGUGCCAUGGAGAUGAAUAUUGAUUGAUUGCUUGCACUAAGGACCAAUGCUGCCCUUGAAACUUGAGUUGGUCUUGGAGGAGGGGGUCUUGAAGGUGGUGGAGCACUGGUGGGUUGUGUAAAGAGAGGAAUAUCUGAUACAAUGAGCCACACAUCAUCAGAUGAAGACAAAUUCUCUUCAGAUCUAGGAGACAUCUCUCCCUGGGGAUUUGUUUCAUUAGGAGUAGCAUUCACAUGUGAAGGAGGAGAAGACGUCUGACUGAAAGAUUUAUGAGAAUCUGUGGAAAU
RNAcentral lists this long non-coding RNA (399 nucleotides) under Vitis vinifera (wine grape). Its description in RNAcentral is "long non-coding RNA (VVIN_LNC000740)". Lineage: Eukaryota; Viridiplantae; Streptophyta; Magnoliopsida; Vitales; Vitaceae. The record is from RNAcentral.